RNAcentral lists this long non-coding RNA (21216 nucleotides) under Capsicum annuum. RNAcentral describes it as "long non-coding RNA (CANN_LNC008665)". Lineage: Eukaryota; Viridiplantae; Streptophyta; Magnoliopsida; Solanales; Solanaceae. The record is from RNAcentral.
ACAAACUCCAGCAAAGCAACAUCAAAAUAACUCAUGUACAAAUAUAAAACAAAUGCUAGCAUCACUAGAGAACAAAGUAUCAUUCAGAACAACAAUAUGAUAAAUAACUAAAAAGAAGCACAGUUAUUUAUAAAUAAUGUUCAAGGGAGUAAACACCAGAAUACCCAUGGUUUUCGAUAUCACAGUAGUGGUGACGACAUAGCGGCGUUGCUUUAAUGACAUUCGCCAAAGCAACGCCGGAUAAUCAAAAUCUAGUCAGAUCUGUGUGAAUCAAAUAGGUAACAUGUUAAACUGAUUCAUUAGAGGAGAGAAUUCAAAGAUGUAGUGACCAUCAUUCCUAAACAAAUAACAAAAUAAAGGGUCAAGGAGAGAACGAGCAGUGGCGGUGUAGCUGGAGGCUCGCUGGCCACUACCUUCGGUGAGGCAGCGGGAGCGGCGAAAAAAGGAAAAUGGUGAAAGGGGAAGCGUUGGCUGGUGUGUUGUCGCCGGCCGUUUGGUGUUCAACUCCAAUAGUGCUAGUAAUAGAUAGAGGAGGAUGGAAAUUGGUGGUAGUGUGGUACUCGCCGACCAUUCGGUGGUUAAAUCCGGUGGUCGGUGGUAAGGGUAGAGAGAAAAGAAAGUUUGAUUUUGGGAGAGAGAGAAAAAAUUAGAUUGUGAAAUGUGGGUGUAUAUUUUAUUAUUUGUGUGUGGUUUUAGGUAACUGAUUUUGAGUAUAUGUGUGUGUAUUUGUGGGUAGUCCAUCAGAGCACUGGUGGUGGAGAGGCGGCAGUAAGAGCAGCCAUGGAAGUUGAAUAGUGGAAGAGAGAGGAAAAGAUGUGUAUGAAUGAAAAGAGAAAAAAAUUAGAUUUUGUAUAUGUAUUUUGUUUAUGUGAAGAAAUACACCCCACCCACUUAUAUUUAUAAUAAAAAUAAGUAUCUUCUAUUAUCCAAAAAAUAAAAGAAUGUCCCCUAUUUUUAUUAGCACACCUUUUGUCCUUAGGAUAUUGAUCAAAAAAUUUUUAUCCUUUUGACCAACGGAUAAGGUUAUUAUCCAAAGUGUAGUAUCAUUGAAUUGUUAUUGUCAGAUAUGACAAGUCAUUAUGUGUAGUCAUUGUCAGAUGUGACAAGAUAUUAUUGUGUGAUCAUUGACGGAUGUGACAAGUCAUUAUGUGUAGUCAUUGUCAGAUGUGACAAGAUAUUAUUGUGUGGUCAUUGACGGAUGUGACAGACAUUAAAUUAUUAUAUUGUGUAAAAAUAAUUGAUCCGACUUAGCAUUUGCGGACUAUAAAAAAUGUACAAAAUGCAGGUAUUAAUUUGUGAUUAUGAAAAAAUGUAAAGAAUGUUGAAAAUAUUAAAAAAUAUAAUUAAUUUGAAAAUGUAAUUAAAAUGUGAUGUCAUGUCAUGUAUGUGUGCGGAUGAUUCUGAAAGUGUUAAAAUGAUAAUGAAUUGAUAAAAAAAGUCUAACAUACAGAUAAUUAUUAAUAAAUUAUGAUAAUUAAAAAAUAUGACAAAAUUCUAAAGUGAGGAUGAUUAAUAAUUGUAAAAAAUAUGUGAAAAUUGUGUUCUGUGCCCUUUAACGAUCAGGAUGCCUAAAGACAUUAAUUUUGAGUACGGAGAACAAAAAUUGAGUGUUAACAGUUGCCCCUUUAUAUUUGAGGACGAUGUAGAAGUCUUCACAUGACAAUGUUGACGUGUAGCCAAUUUUGCUCGAUAAAAAAAUAAUUUUGAUGAAAAUUCGACCGAACUCUAAUUGAGAGUUGCCUACAUACCUCAAGUUGCAUAAGGAACAGGUCAGGUGUAGUUCAAAAGAAUAGGGGAAUUUCCUCUUGCUUUGUUAUAAAAGGCAAAUGAUCAUUCGAAAUGAUUAUAAAGAAGAGGAUUGUUUGAGAACGGAAGUGCUUACAUAUUCUCGAUGCUCCUUCUGAAAUUGCCCCAGUAUCGAGCUGUGAGAUGCUGGGGAUUCAAGAUUAUGUACUUGCUGGGGAGAAAGAAUGAUUAGAUGAUUGUGAUGACCAAACUCUGCAUAGAUCGUUCUACAUAUCUCGAGUGUCGCGAGAAUCAAGUCAAUGUAGUUCGAAAUGAGAAAAUAGGGAAAAAAAAUUUAGGCGAUGGUCAAAAUUUGCCCCAUUGUAUAAUUUAUGGAUAGCAUUUGGCUUUUUGAAUGAAAAUUGAAAAAAUGUUUUGUUGUUUUGAAUUGUAUUUUUGAUUGAAAAGAUGCAUGAUGUCUUCAAUUGUCUACGGAGACUUAAGGAUGAAUGACGCCUCCGAUUGUUUAUGGAAACUUAUGUGAUGUGUGAAAGAUAUCUUCGAUUGUUAACAAUGACUUGAUGCAUGACAUCUCCAAUUGUCGAUGGAGACUGAUAUUGAUUGUCGUCUUCGAUUGUCUAUGGAGACUGAUGUUGAAUGAUGAUGUCUUCAAUUGUCUACGAAGACUAAUGACAUCUCCAAUUAUCUAUGGAGACUGGUGUGGAUUGUCGUCUUUGAUUGUCUAUGGAGACUGAUAUGAUGAAUGAUGUUGUCUUCGAUUGUAUACUAAGACUUGAUGCAUGACUUCUCCAAUUGUCUAUAUAGGCUGGUGUGGAUUGUCGUCUCCGAUUGUCUAUGGAAACUAAUGUUGAAUAAUGAUGUCUUCGAUUGUAUGGGAAUACUUGAUGACAUUUCCAAUUAUCUCUGGAGACUGAUGUCAUUAACUAGUAAAGUGAUUGAAUUCUAUGGUCUCUCGAUUAGUAGAACAGCUGGAAGGUAGUAGUCUCUCGACUGUCGUGGCUAUGAAAAUGUAAGAGCCUCUCGACUGGCGGGGAUAUUGAAAGUUAAUAUCCUAUCAACUAGCGGGGCUAAGAAAUGUAUUAUCUCUCGACUUGUGGAGCAUUAGAAAGGUAAUAGCCUCUCGAAUAGAGGAGCUAUGAAAAUGUAAAAGCCUCUCGACUGGCGGGGCUUUGAAAGGUAAUAGCCUCUCAACUGGCGGAGCUUUGAAACGUAAUAGCCUCUUGACUGGCGAGGCUAUGAAAAUGUAAAAGCCUCUCGGUUGGCAGGGCUUUGAAAGGUAAUAGCCUCUCGACUGGCGAGGCUAUGAAAAAAAAGCUAUCGACUGAUGGAGUUACUGAAAGGUAAUAUUCUCUUGACCAAGAUCUUACCUUUCUCAAUAAAUUCUUGAAUCUUGUACCUCAAUCCUGAACAUUCCUCAGUAUCAUGUCCUUGGAUAUAUAAAUUAUAUGCACACCUUUUGAACAAGUCAAAAUUUGAUGGUGGGUACUUAGGGAUCAAACCUUUUCUUGGUUUCAAAAUUCCUUGAGCAAAAAACUUUGGAAUAUGCUAAUCAAAGGUUUAGUUAAAGGGGUAAAAGUAUGAGAUUUUAGUUUCUUUGGUUGAUGAGAAUUAGAUAUCACUAGAUAAGUAUGUUGUUGGGGAUCACGCUGGUUAAAAUUUUGAUAUUGAAAAGCUUGUGGGUUAUAUGGGUCAAAAACAGCAUAAGUAGGUUUGGUAUUUGGACAUUGUGGUUCUUGAGAUGGAAGGGUUGAGAUAUCUUCUUCUAUUUCUUCUUAUGGUAAGGGUUUUUGUGCUUGAAGGGUAGCUUGUAUUGCAAAAACAUCAAUAACCUUUCCUAUUCAAAUGGGAUAUUUUAAUCUCUUCCUAAUUAAAAUCAGCUCGUCGAACCCUUGGACACAUGAGCAACAUAACUUUUGGUAGUAGAUACCAUCUAGAAACCUUAUGAAAUCUUGAACCAACUCUUUCUUGGCAUAGGAGGACGUAUCUUAGAAACUUCCAAUCUCCAUCGUGUCAUAUAAUCCUUAAAAGAUUCAUGAGUCAUUCUCCUUAUUUAUAACAAGUCCAGCAUUGCUGGAUUGGCCUUGAUAUUAAACUUAUAUUGGCACACAAAGUCUUGAGCCAUGCUCUCCCACUAUAUCAAAGUAUUGUGUGACAUACUAAGUAAUUGUUAUUCCUGAUAGGAUUUGAAUGAACAAUCUCAUCAAGAGAGCUUCAUUGUCUCUUAUGCCAACUAAUGUGCUACAUUAGUCCUUCAGGUGCGAGAUUGGGUCUCCAUGCCCAUCAAACACAUUGAAUUCUUGAAUUUUAUAUCCUAGAGGCAAAUCAAUCGUUGGAUGCAGGCACAACUUCUUAUAUCUCAAAUAAUAAAUGCCCUUGGGGAGUAGACACACAUCCAACCUCUUUUCCAAGUCAAGAAACAUUUAUGUUACCAUGUUUCGCAAAGUACCAAGGAAAUAACUAAGGAGAUGUGAGUAAGAAGGUAUCUUAUGCUGGGGAAGAAGAAAUUUGUUAGAAGAAGAAUCAAGAUGGUUAGGCAUAUUUGUCAAAUUGCAGACCUUUAGCUGAUUCGAUAUUCAAAUGUAAGACAACCUUUAAACAAAAUAAACAAGCUAACGAAAGUUACCACAUAGCACAUAUAAUUUUAACACAUAAUAAAUAUAAAAACAAAAGGCAUUCUAGAAUGAAGACUAGAACUUAAUAAGUGAUCUAGGUGUAAAGAUUUGAGCUCCUAACGCAUAAAAUAUGAUAGUAAUAGAACAUGAUGUCAUUUUACAAUUGUGAUUACAAAGAAGAUAAGAAAGAUAGGAAAUGAACAAGGUCAACUUUCAUUGAACAUCAGAUUUGUUGAUCAUACAUGACAUUGUUAUUAUCUAACUCCAUGUAAAAAAAUAACGAAAUAGGGAAAAGGAAGAUUUUAUUAUGAUGAGACCAAACUCAACAAAUAAGCACCUAUGUAUCUCUCAUACAGGGGAAUCAGGUCGACCGUAGUUCACAUUACAUAAGCAAGGAAAACAAAAAAGGAAAUUGAAAAUUGUAAAACUUGAAUGAAUUUCAAAUGUUUGGGAGUCUGGAGUAGAGAAUCAAUAUGAUAUCUUCUUCACUAUUGUUAACCAGUGCAAGUCAAUCUUAGGAAAUCAAUCUGCAUUAGAAUUUGACCCCAUCACAUUUAUCACCUGGGUAUCAAUCAUAUUUUGGAUCAUGCUCUUUAAGGAAAAACAUGCCUUAGUAGGAUACCCUUUCAUCCCAGAAUGGUAGGCAUAAAUUUGGUCAGGGCAAUACCGCCUAGACUUAGUGUCAGCCGGUACAACAGCAAUGGGUGUGAUGUAGCCCAUAUUCUUGAGUCCUUCAUACAACUGUUGUACGGUUUCACCUAGAAGAGUGUACUAUUUUGGUGGAUCUUUCUGAAGCUUAUGUUGAGGUUUGGUGGAUAAUUUUGAUUGUUGAUUUUUUGGUGAGUUUUGGAAAUACAUUGGAAGGUAGUUUGAUGUUGGAACAACAAAUGAAGGUGAGUACCAAACAGUUUGUGGAGGAUGUUUUGUGAAGGACUGGGGAUAAUAGGCUUAGACAUAUUGGAAUGAUUUUCUGGAGUUGGGUACCAUAUCAAUUGAGGUUGGGGUAUGCUUACUUCAGGCUUUAGAGGUUUUGAUAUCUCAUCGAUGGUUGUCUUUCCCCUAUUCAAAUUGGUCUCAAUUUUGAGCUUCCUCUUUAUCUUAUUAUUGAACCUCCUAAGAAAAUUAGUUGUUAAAUCGUCCCAAGAGAUCCACUUGCUAGUAUCAUUUCAGCAUACCACAUCAAUGUUGGACCCUUAAAUGAACUAACAAAGAGUUUCGUCUUAAGGUUAUCACUUUGCCCUAUAACCGAUAGCUCGUUAAGGUACUCCUUCAAAUUGGAAUGUGGGUUUCCAGACCCAUCAUAUAAUGGAAAGUUCAAGUCCUCAAUUUUAUCCUUGUCUCCUUCCUUAGCUUUGGGUGACUUAUUCAUCUCAGGCUGUUGAGAUGACCCUGCCUUAUGGUUAAGAAUUUGUCCUCCUAUUUCCUUCUCCUUGACCAUAGUUGUCGACCCAUUGAGUACUUUCAAUAGUGCAACUGAAUACCAACUUUAAGACACUCGUCGAUAUAGAAGAUGACAUAGUAUAGGAGGGAGCUAUGAAGUUAGUUUCAAAUAAUGACUCUGGAAAAUGUAGUGGCAUCUCAACUAAACCUCGGAGAUAAGUCAUUAUUCCCCUAAUUCUCUCUAUUCUUCUUUCCAUCCAUAUGAUACUCGAAAUAACUUUGUUUUGAUGCAGCCUCGAACUUUCAUGCCCAGCUUUGCUAUUGACAAGAUUGAUAAACAUUGCUUGACUAGCCAUUUCUGAUGCUUAACUUUAGUCAACCUUAGAAGACAGGACUUACGAUUAUAAACAAAGAGUACACACCAGAGUCUAGAGUGAAUAUUCUACUCAUUAGAAAAUAAUGAGUUAUACUUAUCCGAAGUGAAUAGAAGUUAUAAGAGCUCUAUGUAACUUAGAGGUUGUGAAAUUUAGAGUACGACAUGAGUAUGAUGAUAUUAAUGUCCAAGAAUCAUGGUAGGACAAUAGUAUAUAAAUGUUAGAAGCAUUAGGAAGAGGAUAUCCUAACAUGAUAAAUUGCACUAACAGAUUAUGAAUGAGGCUGAAACUCUUUAUCAAAGCAAGAGUUGAGCAUAGGGAUGAUUAAUAUACUAAUGGAUGAGUUAGGCUGAUAGAUUGAAGGGAAGCUUUUGAAUAGGCCCUAAGAGUGAAUUGUAAGGCCCUAACAUGACAAGAAUAUUAAGAGUAAAGAGUUCUAAGGUGAGGAACACUAAAAGUAAGGAGUGACUAAGACAAGAGCGAAAACAAAAGAUAGGUAAGAUAUCAAAACAUACGUAGAAAUGAAACAUAUAACAAAUAAUAUUAUGCGUCCUUAUGGGGUAUGAACCCCUUUAGACUUUGAAUGAGACUAACAUUCAACGUACCAAGGGUUCCAAGGCAUCCUAGGUUGAAUGGGAUGCAUAUUCCUUAGUAAAAGAAAUAUGUAGCCAGGAUCUAAAAAACAAGAGUGGGUUUAUGACAUGGUUCCCUCGAGUAGACAACUCGAGAGUGGGAAAGCUUGUGACUGUCGAUGCACUGCUGAUCGACCGAUCCACAAGGCAUUUUCCAGUGGGUAUUUUAGAAAAUAACAUCCGUACAACCACACAAUCUUUCGUAAAAGAAAAAAGAGAUUUCAACUGGAGGAAAGUAUUAACGGAAUACCAGUUAUAUAAAGCAGUAACGCAUAGCACAUAGAAAAAAGAACAUGCUAAGCAAUAUACACAUAAAUAAACAUGAUAACACAUAGGCAACAAAAAAGGAAAAAGGGAAAGGGAUAGACAUGGAGACAUAUGAAAAACACAUAAAAAGAGAAAAGGAGAAAGGACAAAUAAAUCAUGAUAUAAAUGAAUAAUAAAAGUAUAACAUGUAGAAAAUAAAUCAUGAUAUAAAUGAACAAUAAAAGUAGGACAUGUAGAAAAUAAAUCAUGAUCUCAAAAACAAACAUUAUACACAAACAUCAAAACAAAUAGAGAGAAUCCCACAUAAAGCACAAAUUCAUAAUGGUAAGAACCUAAGUAUUUUCAGCAAAGUUGUCAUUCUGUCGCGCCCCAUUUUUCUUGUGAAAACCAAAAUUAGACAUGACUACUCUUUUUGGGAUUAUUUAAAGAGUGUGAUGAGUCGCCACCUAACGUAUUAGGGUGCGUUAGGGCAUUGGUCUAGGCUAACUACGAACCUAUUUUUGUAAUUUAGUCUUAGUUCAUCAAAAAUUUGGGUAAGGGUUCAAAUUACCUCGAAAGGAAGGUGUUAGGCAUCUUUCGAGGUCCACAAAGGUGGUUCCCAGCCAAAUUCGUACUUUACAUGGGGAUUCUAUGUGAUCAAAUAAAAGUCAUUAUUUCAUUAAUAACUUAAUAUUAACUAAGUGAUAAAGUAAUUAAUGAACAAACAUGUUAUUUGGUUAUUCCUAUUUGAUAAUUACCUAAGAGGUAAACAACACAAGAAUUAAUAAAGGAAUAAUAAAAGCGAUAAUGACACAAAUUAUAGCAGAUGGGACUGAUUAAAUAAACCAACUACCCCAAAAUAGAUAAGCAGAUAAAAAUAAAAGAAUAAAAUCAAAAAGUCGAACCAAGGAAAUAUUUUUGAUUUCAUUCGGAUCAGAACCCCAACUUGUUUAAUCAUUAUCCGACCCAUUGACCGAAUUCUUAGACAAGUGACAAUGUCAUAAGUCGUGUAAUAUAUGUUGGAUAUCAUCACUUUCGAAUGACUACCCUCCCUCACCUAGGCUGGUUGUCAAACUUAAAAGCGUUCUAAAAAGAAAGGAUAAAACUAAUGCCUCUAGAAUGCCUAUCAUCCCACUUAUCGCCCAAGAGGCAUUGGGCUUUGCUAAUAUAGAUAACCAAAGCUAUGUUUGCUAGUUUGACCCAAAGCGCGUUAAACAUGUUGGACAACAAGUAGCACAUAAUUAUCUCAAAUGAGCCUCUUGAUUAAUUAAGAGUUAGUUAAUGUGACUAGCAUGCAAGAGAAGCAAUUAUUUAUUUUUUGAUUAAAUCUAUAGACAUGAUAUCUAAGUGUCACGUAAUUAUUAUCGACGAAGGAUAAUUGUAAAUCAUUUUUAAAACAAUGUUGUAAAUUUAUUAAGAAUAAAAAUGGGUAAGUCAAAGUAAAGUAAAUGUGUUGGGAAGUGAUACCGGUCAAUUAAUAAGCCAAAUAUGUUGUCAAUUAAUGAAAAAUACUGGAAAGUAUGCUAGGCAACAUGUUCACUUGAUGAAACUAAAUAACAUGUAGGAAUUAAAUUAGUAAAAACACUGCUGAAAAUUCAUUUCAACAUACAGAAGAUUCAUUUUUGUAUCUUUAAUAUCCUGAAAAUCAAUUUGAUGAACUGAAAAUUAACUCUAUUGUGUUGAAAGUUAAUUUUUUUUAAGUGUUGGAAGAGUAGAUUAAUAUGCUGAAAUGAUGUAAAAGGCUGAGCAUUAUUUUAUUUUUUUGAUAAAAAUAACAAUUUUGUAUGCUGGAAAUCAGUUUUAUAAGUGAAAAAUUAACUAAAACUGCUGAAUAUUACUUUUAAAUGCUGCUGAAAAAUGUUUUAAAUGUUGGAAAGUGACUUAAUAGGUUGAAACUAUAUUUUAAAUGCUGAAAAUUUUAUCAAUAUGCUGAAAAUAAAUAGAAACAUGCAGAAAAACAAAUAUAAAUAUUGAAAAUUAAUUUGACAUGUUAUAGGUUAAAUUAAUAUGCCCAAAAUAAUUUUUUUUUCAUGUCAAAAGUCUACUAACGGCCUUAAAGACAUGAUUUCUAAGUGGUAAAACAAGUUUAUAUUAAUCCUAUGAAUUUGCCUAAGUGAUUUGCGUAAGCAAACAAAAGCACAUAAAUACAUAAACCUAAGUUAUGUUUGCCUAUGUGAUUCAUAGAGCACAUAAAUCUCCGUCCCCAAGCAGUCCCUAAUUUAUUAUUAUUAGGGUAGAGUUGUACAAUAAUUACUACAGACCAAUAAUAAAUGAAAGAAAAAACACUAAGAAGAGCUAGAUUGCAUAGCCCUCAGCGACUCUCAAGUCCAUGGCAAAUCUGUCUCAUCUAACCAUUAGUCUUUAAUCUAUGAACACAAAAAAAAGAACCAAAAUACACUUUGAAUCCGAAAUAUACCUUUGGCAAUGCAUAACCAAACCCUUGGCUCUAUCGAGAUCCUAAGGAUCUCUGGAAUCCCAGGCAGGCUCACACCGAAGGAGUUAUGUGAUGCGCAAAGAUUAUUUCAGAUUCAUAAAUAAAUAUUCUAGUGGGGAACAACAUUUAACAGCAAGAGAAAGUAUGUCAUAUUGACAAAAGCAAAUAGCAUGAGCAUCCUAGUAAGUCACGAAAUAAAUGCACAAAAAUGAAUAAAAGGCUCAUGUCAUCAAACUCUUCAAAUGUUUAAAGUAAGUAAAUCGAAGUGGGAUCAUAGUCAUGUAGAAUAACAUAAAAAAAAAAUAAUGCAUCGUUCGAGAGAACUAACCGAUUAACAACACAAUAACAAAAGAAAAGUGAACUUUCAAAAGUAGAUAAACAGUCGUACGAUCAAACAAGAACCAGCAAUCCCAAAGUAGAAGCAGGAAGCAAAAUUUAACCCAAAAGUAUAGUGUGGAAGAGUAUAGAAGUUAGUGAAAAUUUUCUGUAUAGAGAGUAGGAGAGCAUGAUAAGAGAUGUCCUGAAUACAAAUGAGGGGUGGCCGUUAUAUAGUGAAGGGACCACAAAAAUAAAAGAAAUAAGAAUAUUUGAUCAUUCAAACAAGGAGAUUAUUUUUCUACAUUAAGGAGGUAAAUCUAUUAACUUCACCGAUCAUGCUAUGGUUGCAACAAAUAAACAAAUAAGAAUCUAUCUAAAUCUUAAUAUUGAAAUCUUCCAUAAACAAAAUAAGGAAAAAAAAAUCUUUCCUACUUAUUAAAGAAGUCAAGAGGUGGGUAAAAGAUAUUAGUAUCAAUCAAUUAUAAUAUCAUCUACAUUUACCAUAAUUAAUACGUAAAUGAAUAUCUGUCACACUAAAUAAGGUCAAAGAGAAAUGAGAAAAUCAAUUAGUGAAAUAGUUCAUCAAAAAUCAAGGAAAAAUCGAAUUAGACACAAAAUCAAGGUAAAUGAGUGACAUCAAUAGGCAAAAUGUACCCAUAUUAAGUUUGCUACAUAUAACCUCAACAAAAAAAUCACGCAAUAUGUCACACAUAUUACAUGUAUGGAAUUAUCUUAGAUAGAGAGAUGAAACUUCCACAAACUAAUAUGCAGCACUAAACAAGUUAAGGGUAAAAUUGGGGCUUUCACAAUUGGGUAGUGUAAAAAUGUAAAUAUGCAUAGAAUUAAGUCAACCUAUCUCAGGAAUAUCACAAAUUUAAUAUCUAAAAAUCAUUGAAUAGGUAGAAGAAGAUGACAUUAUGAAAAUUACAUUACAGAAACAAACUUGACACGGAUUCAUAGAAUCUGUCAUGUAUUUCAAUGCUUUUGGACAAAAUAUAGUUGAGCAACAGCGAAGGCAGUGGCGAAAAGAGAGGGAAUAGCAUUGGGGAUCCUUUGGUUAGCUCUCCAGCCGUAUGGCUACUUGUAGCGGAGAUGGUUGGGUUCGUUGAUGGUGGAACCGACGGUGAUGAUGGCAGUGGCGGUGCUUAUGGAUGUUUCCAUUGUUCCUUUGGUGGUGGGCGACUAUGAAGGGAAUACGCAGGCUGGAGAGGCACAAGGAUGAAUGAAGGCGGUGGAGAAGGGUGGUUCGCUAGUGGAGAGAGGAGAAUGAAGAUAAGGGAAAGGGUGGCAAUUUUGGUAUAGAGGUUGCCGACCGACUGGUAAUCACAUCCAGUGGUGGCUGGAUCUUAGAUAGAGAAUGGGAGCCCAGAGAGAGAAACAAGGUGCGGUUAUUUUGGAAUAAUGAAUUAGAGUUUAGUUCUUUAAGUUUAAAAAGGCAAGAGUAUCCUGAGUAGAUCUUAGUCAUUAGAUCAAUUUGAUUUGCGCCUGACAUGGAGGAAUUUAAAAAUAGGUCAUAAACUGGGAUUUAAAUAGGAACUCUAAGUGAUAUCAAUUUUGGCUAAAAUUGAUAUCAAUUGGAAUAAAAAAUUAGCUAGAAAUUAAACACAAGAAAGGAAAAUUGGAUAAAAGUGAUUGUUAGUUUAAUAAAUGUAAUAAAUGAAAUAAGAUGUCCCUAUUAAAAUAAAUUAAUGUUACGUAAAAUAAUUAUAAAAAUUAUCGAUAAUAAUAAUAGACAAUAUAUUUGUAAAAUAUGAGUGUGCACAUGUACGUGAAAAAAUAAUUUAAUAAAUAUUAAUAAAAUUAUGUAAAAUGUCAUACUUGAAUUAAUAAAUUAUAAAAACAAUACUAAAAAAUAAUAAAAUAAUUUGUUCAUUUUUAAAUCGUGAAUGUGGCUUGUUGAAAAUUAUCUAAUACCAAAAUAAUGCACAAAAAAUAUUAAUAUUAAAGGUUAAAUAAUUUUGACAAAAAUAGCUGUCUAAGAGAGCAUCGAGAUGUCAAAAUUGGGUGUCAACACCAAUAAUUAGUAGUGUGUAUAAGAAUUUCUCCAUUUUUUUCUCAGCUAACUGAGGUCAACUUUAGGGUAACUCCUAUAGUUUUGAGUGGUACCUCAGCCAUACCUAAGUAUCGACAAGAUUCAUUCGGCUUGCUUCAAACAAAGAUUUUGAACUGUGCCUAUUCUCAUGUUUCAAGUGGCCUCUCUAGAAAGAGNNNNNNNNNNNNCAUUUUCACAACUAUUUGAGUAUUUUUAUUUUGAAUGUAGAGACGUUCAGAGAUAUACACUCACACUCAGAAAGUUCACUGAAUGCAAUUGCCAUACCAUAGGCUUGGCCUUCAUGUAAGUAUCUACUAAUGUGAGAACACUUAGAGUAGGAUCUUGUAGGACUUGUUAUUGGCUUAUAAUGUAGGCUUGGGAUCGGGUAGGAUGACAUUUGGAAUAAAAGUGACUAGUUCCUUAAUAAGCAUUGCACUGUAUCCGUGCUUUUGACAUUUGUUGCACUUUGACGCUCGAUCUUCUUUGUUUUUCUUCUUUGCCCCUUGUUUUGUGUUUACUUCGACGUCAUUUGAAUCUUGUGCUAGAGAUUUUCUCCGUUUCUUUUCAAUAAAUUUUUUUUUGGAUGAAGAUUCUCCAUCUUUGUUGGAGUUUCCUUUUUUUUCCUUUUUUAUGAGGAUUUUUGCUCCUUCUUCUUUAAAGUCGUCUUUUAUUUUUGUUCUUCUAGGGCUAAUAUGCUAUUUGCCUUUGGGACCUUUGAUCUUGAAUCUUCAUUCACAACUUGUAUAUACUUAGUACGCUCAAGGAGGUGGGCCAAAAGAGGGAUAGUUCAUGUAAGCAAUCAAAAGGUAUAGGCUCAGAUCUGGUUAUCCAAUGAAAAACUUUCAGGCUCAAAGGGGGAAAUGCUAGGAUUAAUGUCAUUUAAUGGGCUUUGGAAGACCCGAUCGGAUCAAAGAAGGCCUACAAUCCUUUAUCAAACCAAGUGUAUCUCAAAAUUUCCCCUCAACAGAUAUUCAGGCCAAGUUCUAGAUCAAUAAUGCCAUGCAAUGAACUAAUCUAAAGCUCACCACAUAAUGCACUUGAAAUAAUGAGGUUGACUUCGUUCUUGUCUUAGAUGAAUGCAAGAGAAUUUUUUUUUCAAAUGUCACUCAGGUUUGACUAAGUGGUACCAAAAGAAUCUAUGGUUUACCAUGAAGUUAGUCUUCUCCAUCAUACCACUUUGUUCUUUCUCAUGCACACUCCUAACUAUGUUGGUACCAACCAAGUCAUAAUUUUAAUAUUUUUAUUUAUUUAUAAAAAAUAAUGUGACAGGAUCCGAACGAGGGUUUGCCUACAUAUCUUGUAAAAAUAAGAAUCAGGUCUGGGUAGUUCAGGAAAAUUUAUAAAUAUAUAUAUACAACAUGUAGGAAUGUACAAGAGUGGUGAUCAUCCUUGAAAGUAAUAUGAAAGACGAUCAGGAAGAUUACUUAUAUCAUCAAAAUUGGUCCGAUCAGAUGAUCGAGAGGAUGGAUGUCAAGCAUAAGGAGUGUUUUGAAAUUACUUCAAUAUGUCAACAAGAUUGAGGAGGUCAGACAUUGAAAAAGUUAUGGCAUUAUUUCACCGCAGUUGGCAGGAUUGUUAUGAAUGAAAGAAUAUUGAACCCUUGUUUUAAGAGUGGAGAUCAAUAUGCCGUAAAUUUAAUGGUUUACCACGUUAGAAAGAAGAAGCUAGGUGUUCUCGAAUAAAAAUUGGGUGAGAAUUUGGAGGUAGACCCGCUAGGCACUAAUGUUAUUGAGAUUUAGAUCUGAGCAGCUAUUUAUUUGCGCUAAGACCUUUAGAGAGCGUCUUUGAACUGUUACAAAAAAAUUGCCCAGUUUGAAUACUGAAGGAAUUAUUCUAAAGCAGUGAAGAGACUGAAACCUAAUACAGGGAUGCCUACGUAUCUUGUCAUGACAAGAAUCAGGUCAAAACAUAGUUCAAACUCUUUUUUUUUAAUGAGUUUAUAUAUGAUGUGAUUUAUUUCUAUAAUAGAAAUUUUCCUAACUAGUUGAGAGUAGGACCGAAUAAUUGUGAAAAGUCACACUAACAUAAAUGCACCAAUUCUGAAACUAAGAAAUCCAAAGAAGGUUCAGAGGACUGCAGUACACCCUUCGCGUGUUCAGUGUGUGAAUUGUGUACGGCCAAAGACUCAAUGAAAUUGUAGUUUAGGAUUAAAUAAAAUAAAGAAUAAUGUGUAAAAGUUUUUUUUACAAUAUACAAAUACAAUGUAUUAAACAAGUAAGGAAUAAAAGAAUUGAUAAGGCAACAAAAUUAAUUUGCACAAAUAAUGUAGUGAAUUCAUGAACAAGUCUACGCAAUUUGCAAUGUGAAACAGAUAAAAAAUCAAAGAAUUAAUAUAUGCAAAAAAUAUAAAAACACCUCCCUCAAUUGAAAAAUUGAGUCUAUCAUGGUUAGAACCUGCUGUUAGUCCCCAGUGGAGUCGCCAUUCUGUCAUGCCCUAUUUUCACCAAGGUUAAACAGAACAUGACUUAUUGACUCUAAAUGAAUUAAAAAUUUGUACAGAGUUGCCACCUAAUUUUUAGGAAAAUAAGAAAAUCUAUUUAUUUAUUAACAUGUUUGAUUUAUGUCUUAGUCUGCGAAAAUCAAUUUUGAUUCUAGGUAAGGGUUCAUAUUAUUCCGAAGAAAAGCGAUUAGGCUCCCUUCAGAAUCCACAAAUGUGGUACCCGACUACACUCAAUUUAUCAAUGAGGGAGGAGGUAAGAAAUGAUUAUUUGAAAAAUAUAAAUAUUUAAAAUAAUAUGAAAAAUGUAUGUAUAUUAAGUAUAUAAAUAAAUUUUUUGUUAUGAAAAUAUGUACAAAAGUAUGUAUAGAAAUGUACAAUUUUGAUGGAAAAGAAAAAGUAUUUUGUGACAUUUAAAAAACAAAGUAUUUUUUAUGUACUAAAAAGAAAAAGUAUUUUUUAUGAACUAAAAAGAAAAAGUAUUUUUCAAAUAAUACUUUUAUUUAAUCAAAAUCACAAAGAAAAAUAAAGAUUCAUUUGAAAAGAAAAAGCUACGUAAUAUGUAAAUGUGUGAAUUAAUUGAUUAACUUAAUUAUUUUAUGUAACUAUUAACGGCCUAAGUUUAUCCUAAAUACGCGAUAAUGAGUAUGUAAGUAAAGAAUGUUCCCGCCUGACACCCCCAAAAGUAAAUUUUCACUGUACUUUCAUCUUUAUAUACAGUUACAAGAAAUAAAAUAAGAAAUAUAGAGCUCAAAACUUUCUUCCAGAUAUCAUAGGGUGUGUUAUCGAGAAUAUGUAUACACAGGUUAGUAACAAAACAAGAUAAAUUAAGAACUAUGUGUGGGUGUGUGUAUACAAAUAUACAUAAAAAAUAGAGUCUUUUUGUUAAAACAUGGGCUUGGAUUAGAUUUUAGAUUCACCAUGGCUAUGAAGUGGUUGCUCCUAAAUCAUCUUACCAAGGCACGAAUCGUAAAACGUUUUGUGUUGUUAUAUUUUAAAGAUUUUAUCAUCACCCGAAUUUAUUUUUUUUUGUUAUGUCUUUGUAUACGCAAUGUCCAUCUUUUAUUUGGGAAGGCCUCGAAAAUCGACAGGAGUUUCUUCAUUGGCCAGGUAUUGGCCCGUGAUAUAAAAUAAUAAAUUUUGAGCAAAUAAAGUUCGUCUUUUGUAAUGGGGUGGCCUCAAAAAUCUGAUGGAGAGAUAUUAUAAUCGGCCAUGUAUUUAUUUUAAUAUAAAUAAGUAAACUUGAGAAAUAAAAAUCCGGCUUUUGUUAUGGGGUGGCCUCGAAAAUUUGACUGAGAGAUAAUGUCAUUGGCCAAGUGUCAACCCUUGAUAUAAAAUAAUAAAUUUGAGAAAAUAAAGUUUGUCUUUUGUAAUGGGGUGACCUCAAAUAUCCGAUGGAGAGAUAAUGUCAUUGACCAAAUAUUUAUUUUCCAGUGUAAUGAAUUUAAAGGGGCGAAAACAGUCAAUUUAAAAUUAGCAGGAAAAGAGAAGGAACACUAAAAAAAGUAAAUCAAUCCAUGGUAGAGACAAAAUAGCUGAAGAAAUAGCAUCCUGAGAACAAAUUCCCAAUCUAAUUUCAGGUCAAACUUUAGCAAAGCAACAUCAAAAUAACUCAUGUACAAAUAUAAAACAAAUGCUAGUAUCGCCAGAGAACAAAACAUCAUACAGAACAACAAUAUGAUAAAUAAUUAAAAAGAAGCACAAUUAUUUAUAAAUUAAUGUUCAAGGGAGUAAACACCGGAAAACCCAUAGUUUUCGGUAUUGCAGUAGUGGUGGUGGCAUAGCGGAGUUGAUUUAAUGGCAUUUGUUGGAGCAACUUCGGAUAAUCAAAAUUCGGUCAAAUCUGUGUGAAUCAAAUGGGAAACAUGUUAAACUGGUUCAUAAGAGGAGAGAAUUCAAAGUAGUGGUGACUAUCAUUCCCAAACUAAUAACAAAAUAGAAGGGCAAGUAGAGAGAACGAGCGAUGGUAGUGUGUCUGGACAUCGCCGGCUACUACCGCCGGUGAGGCAGCGUGAGCAGCAGAAAAGCAAAAAUGGUGAAAACGACGGUGUUGGCUGGAUUUUUAUCACCGGCCAUCCGAUGUUCAAAUUCGGCAGUAUUAGUGAUCGAUAGCGGAGUCUGGAUAUUGGUAGUGGUGUGGUGGUCACCGGCUUUCCGGUGGUUAAACCCGACAGUUAGUAGUAAGGGUAGAGAGAAAAUAAAGUUUGAUUUUGGGAGAGAGAAAAAAAAUCAGAUUGUGAAGUGUGGGUGUAUAUUUUAUUAUGUGUACUUUUUGUGUGGUUUUAAGUAACUGUUUUUGAGUAUAUGUGUGUGUAUUUGUGGGUACUCCAUCGAAGCUCCGGUGGUGGAGAGACUGCAGUGAGAGCAGCCAUGGAAGUUGAAUGGUGUAAGAGAGAGGAAAAGAUGCGUAUAAAUGAAAAGAUAAAAAAUCAGAUUUUGUAUAUGUAUUUUGUCUAUGUGAAAAAAUACACCCCACCCACUUAUAUUUAGAAUAAAAAAAGGUAUCUUCUAUUAUCCAAAAAUUAAAAGAAUGUCUCCCUUUUUUUUUUUAUAAUAGCACACCCUUUAGUUCUUAGGAUAUUGACCAAAGAAUUUUCAUCCUUUUGACCAAUGAAAAAAAUUAUUAUCCAAAGGGUAGUGUCAUCGAGUUUUCAUUGUCAGAUAUGACAAGUCAUUAUGUGUAGUCAUUAUUGGAUAUGACAAGAUAUUAUUAUGUGGUUGUUGUCGGAUGUGACAAGACAUCAAAUUAUUAUACUGUGUAAAAAUAAUUAAUCCGACUUAGCAUUUACGGACUGGUAAAAAUGUACAAAAUGCAGGUAUUAACAUGUAAUUAUGAAAAAAAUGUAAGAAUGUUGAAAAUAUUGAAAAAUGUAAUUAAUUUUAAAAUAUAAUAAAAAUGUGAUGUCAUGCCAUGUACGUGUACAGAUGAUUGUGAAAAUGUCAAAACGAUAAUGAAUUGAUAAAAAAAUCUAAUAUACAAAGAAUUAUUAAUAAAUUAUAAUAAUUAAAAAAUAUGAUUAAAAAUCCUAUAAUGGGGAUGAUUAAGAAUUGUAAAAAAUAUGUGAAUUAUGUUUCAUGCCAUUUAAUGAUUAGGAAGCCUAAAGACGUUAAUUUUGAGUACGGAGAGCAAAAAUUGGGUUUCAACACCCCCAGAUCUUCAUUGAUGAGGUGAGAAAGAUCACUCAAAUUAUGCAUGUUACCGAUGAGGAGAGUGUAGAAUUGGAAUCCUAUAGGUUGAAGGAUGUUUCUUAUGAUUGGGUUCUUAUAUGGAAGAAUGGUAGAGGUGAGAAUGGAGCUCCUAUGAGUUGGCAGGUAUUUCAGGAUGCAUUUCUGGAAAGGUUCUUUCCGCGUGAGAUGAGAGAAGCUAAGGUUUAGGAAUUUAUGAACCUGAGGCAGGGCUCGAUGGCGGUGAAGGAGUACUGUCUUAAGUUCACUCAGUUGUCAAAAUAUGCUCCCAAGUUGGUAGUUGAUCCUAGAUCUAGCAAGAGUAAGUUUGUUAUUGGUGUGUCUGGUUUGUUAGUUAAGGAGUGUAAGACUGUCAUGCUUGUUGGGUAUAUGGAUAUUGCUAGGUUGAUGACUCAUGCUCAACAAAUUGAGGCAGAGAGGUUGAAGGGAAGAGAGAGGGGAAAUAAGAAGGCUAGAAUUGGAUAGUUUGAGUAUGGUCAACCAAGGUCUGAAAGGAGAAAUUAUUUACAGUUCUAGGGUCAUUCAUCUAUGCUAGCACCAUCUUCAUCUAGUGCCCCUGCACCCAGAUCCAAGAAGGAUCAGUGGGAAAGGACUUGCCUAGUUAUCAAACAUGUGCAGAGUAUGGUAGAAGCCAUUCUGGUGAGUGUUUGAUAGGAAAGAGGGGUUGUUAUAGAUGUGGCAAGUUGGGUCACAGAGUCAAAGAGUGUUCAUAUGCUAAGUAAGAAGGUAGAGAUAUUCGUCCCCAGACUCAGGGUACUAGCGCACCAACUUCUCCAGGUUUCCCAGUCCCUCCUUAGGGCACAUCAUCUAGUACCGGUGGUGGUUAGUGCCAGAAUUUAUUCUAUGCAUUACCAUCCUGCUAGGAGUAGGAGAGUUCAACAGAUAUUGUUACUGGUAUGCUUCAUGUCUUCCAUUUUGAUAUUUAUGUGAUGUUACACCCAGAUUAUAUCUCUCUUAUGUGACUCCUUUGAUUGCGGCAAAUUUUGUGAUAGGUCCUAAAAAGAUCUCUAAUCCCUUCUUAGUUUCCACCCAAAUGGAUGAGUCAGUUGUUUCUAGACGGGUCUAUAAGAAGUGUCCUAUUACUGCCGUCCAUAAGAUCAUACUAAAAGACCUAAUAGAGUUAGAAAUGGUAGAUUUUGAUGUCAUUCUAGGCAUGGAUUGGCUCCAUUCAUACUAUACAUAAAUAGAUUGUCGCACCCAAGUGGUGUAGUUUUAGUUUCCUGAUGAGGCAAUUUUUGAGUGGGAAGGUAGUUCUGAAUCUUCUAAGAGUCAUUUCAUAUCCUUUCUUAAGGCCAAAAAGUUGAUAUCAAAAGGGUGAAUUUGUCAUUUAGUUUGAGUCAAAGACACUAAGUCUGAAGCUCCAACAGUUCAGUCAGUCCAUGUAGUCAAUGAGUUUCCUGAGGUUUUUCUCAAAGAUUUGCCAAGGGUACCUCCCGAUAAAGAAAUAGAAUUCGGUAUUGAUCUUCUUCCUGAUACUUAGCCCAUUACCAUCCCUCCAUAUUACAUGGCUCCGACCGAGCUUGAAGAUUUAAAAGAGCAGCUAAAAGACCUCUUAGAUAAAGGUUUCAUAAGGACUAGUGUUUCUCUAUGGGGCGCUCCAGUCCUGUUCGUACGAAAGAAAGAUGACUCUCUCUGAAUGUGCAUUGACUACCGCCAGUUGAAUAAAGUCACAAUCAAGAACAAAUAUUCUCUUCCUAGGAUUGAUAACAUAUUCGACCAGCUUCAGGGUGCAAGUUAUUUCUCUAAAAUAAACUUCAGAUCAUGAGAUCUUCAGCUUAGAGUAAGGGAAUGUGAUAUUCCAAAGACAACCUUCAGAACCCAUUCUGGUCACUUUGAAUUUCUAGUCAUUUUCUUUGGGUUGACGAAUUCCCCAGCACCCGUCAUGGACUUAAUGAAUAGAGUGUUCAAAUAGUACUUGGAUAUGUUCAUCAUAGUCUUUAUCGAUGAUAUUUUUGUCUAUUCCCAUAGUGAGAAUGACCAUGCAGACCAUCUCAAAAUUGUGUUGCAAACUCUUAGAGACCAUUAAUUGUUUGCCAAAUUCAGUAAGUAUUAAUUUUGGAUAAGAUCAGUAGCUUUCCUUGGCCAUAUUAUUUCUGGUGAUGGCAUUAGAGUUGAUCCUCAAAAGACCAAAGCAAUGAGAAACUAGCCUAGAGCUAUUUUUCCAUCAGACAUCAGGAGUUUCUUGGGUUUAGCUAGCUAUUACCGAUGGUUUGUUAAAGGGCUUUUAUCUAUUGUGUCCCCCAUGUCUAGAUUGACUCAAAAGAAAGUUAAGUUUCGGUGGUCAGAUUCUUGUGAGAAGAGUUUUUAGGAGUUGAAGACUCGACUCACUUCAGCCCCAAUUUUGACGCUACCAGAUGGUUCAAAUGGAUUUAUUGUUUAAUGUGAUGCUUCUAGAGUUGGUCUGGGUUGUGUUUUGAUGCAGAGAGCAAGGUCAUAGCCUAUGUCUCUAGACAGCUUAAACCUCAUGAGAAGAAUUAUCCCCCACAUACUUUAUCCUACACUUGAGGAGGCCAUAUACCAUGAUCAUUGGGAAACGAAGAGGGCGGGCCCCAGACAGCUCAAGAAAGUAUGCAAAGUAGGUCUUCUUAAAAAGUCCAUCUAUGUUUUCCUUCUUCAUAAUACUGUUAAGUUCGUUAAAAGGUUUCCCCAACUAACAUUUAAGUACAACAUCAUGAAAUACUGCAUUAGGGUUACUCAUCGACAUCGCAACUUGAAACCCAUCGAUACUAAUAGUUUUGACAAAUUCAUGCUGGGAUUUCGAUGUUAUUUCAAGCCCCAUUGUUGAUAAUGAGUUAUCACUUUCCUCAGCUUCAUUUUUCCCUGACUGAGAUUGUUCUAGAAGUUCCUCUGAAUCUAUUUGUAGUCUAGACUUUUUUGUUGGGUGGUCAGAAGUUGAUCCACUUUUAAUUUUUUUUUAUUUUGGGAGACAUCUUUUAACUACAAACAAUUGAAAAACAAAAAAAUACAUUGCAUUUGAUGUCUGCAUAAUUUUUUUUAAAAAGGUAAGACAAAUUUCAAUAAAUUAUUCUACGCCACAUAACAAAAAAAUACUCCAACAGACAUCCCAUCAGUUAGAACAGAUGGGGAAUCUAUUUGAAAACCUAUUUAGUAUCUCCCAAUAGAUAUUCCACCUAUUGCAACAGGUGAACAAAUUUCAAUAAAUUAUUUUACGCUACAUUACAAAAAAAAUACUCCAACGGAUAACCCAUCAGUUGGAACAGAUGGGGAAUCUAUUUGAAGAACUAUUUAAUAUCUCCCAACAGAUCUUCCACCCGUUGCAACAGACGGACCACCACCACCACAACCAAUGCCACCACUAAUGCUACCAAUACCACCACCAAUGCCACCAACACCAACACCAAAACCACCGACACCACCGCCAAAAAGCACAAAUACUAACACCACCAACAACUGCUACCUAUAAAACCACAAACACCAUCUAACAAUACCACGACAGUUAACAAAACACUGAGAGAAAAACUAGGGUUUUCUCAGGUGCUUCCUACUUUUUUAGCAAAAUUGUUAACCCAUUCUCGAAGGUAAUACAACUAAAAGUCUUGUUUUUCAUCAUUAACUAAAAAGCCCUAUUUUUUAGAAUAAAGAACAAAUGUAGAACUCUUCUCAAACUCUAUUACCUGCGAAGACAAAGAAAACGACAGAUACAAAUAGGAAUGAAGUCGAAAAAAACAACUAUAUGUGGUCAUAAAUGGGAAGAAAAUUGACCUGUUUUAAACGGUUGAGCAAUAUAUUGAGUCAUUGUUGUUUGUAUUGUGGAGACAGAGAGGAGACCCCGAGAGACAGAGAGAGAGAAAAAAGAGA